ACAUGGAAAUGAUGCAA
Molecule: microRNA, 17 nt
Filed under: Chiloscyllium plagiosum (whitespotted bambooshark)
Lineage: Eukaryota; Metazoa; Chordata; Chondrichthyes; Orectolobiformes; Hemiscylliidae
Description: microRNA PC-5p-1802260_1
Source: RNAcentral